AACCUGCCCCAUGCUCCAGAAUAGCUCUUGGAAACGGGUGGUAAUGCUGGAUGCUCCAACUUGACGCAUGUCUUGUUGGGAAAGUGUUUAGUGGCAUGGGGAUGGGGGUCGCGUCCUAUCAGCUUGUAGGCGGGGUAAUGGCCCACCUAGGCUUCGACGGGUAGCCGGCCUGAGAGGGCGGACGGCCACAUUGGGACUGAGAUACGGCCCAGACUCCUACGGGGAGGCAGCAGUGGGGAAUAUUGCGCAAUGGGGAAACCCUGACGCAGCGACGCCGCGUGCGGGAUGAAGGCCUUCGGGUUGUAAACCGCUUUUGAUUGGGGAGCAAGCCUUUUGGGGUGAGUGUACCUUUCGAAUAAGCGCCGGCUAACUACAUGCCAGCAGCCGCGGGUAAAUA
RNAcentral lists this ribosomal RNA (397 nucleotides) under uncultured Gardnerella sp. RNAcentral describes it as "bacterial SSU rRNA". It matches the Rfam family "Bacterial small subunit ribosomal RNA", at positions 123 to 527 of the family's 1533-position model. The record is from RNAcentral. Lineage: Bacteria; Bacillati; Actinomycetota; Actinomycetes; Bifidobacteriales; Bifidobacteriaceae.